This 253-nucleotide ribosomal RNA is filed under the name uncultured bacterium. RNAcentral describes it as "partial 16S ribosomal RNA". It matches the Rfam family "Bacterial small subunit ribosomal RNA", at positions 524 to 776 of the family's 1533-position model. The record is from RNAcentral.
UACGAAGGGGGCUAGCGUUGCUCGGAUUUACUGGGCGUAAAGGGCGCGUAGGCGGACAGUUAAGUUGGGGGUGAAAGCCCGGGGCUCAACCUCGGAAUUGCCUUCAAUACUGGCUGUCUUGAGUGUGAGAGAGGUGUGUGGAACUCCGAGUGUAGAGGUGAAAUUCGUAGAUAUUCGCAAGAACACCAGUGGCGAAGGCGGCUCACUGGCCCGAUACUGACGCUGAGGCACGAAAGCGUGGGGAGCAAACAGG